This 449-nucleotide ribosomal RNA is filed under the name uncultured bacterium. RNAcentral's name for it is "partial 16S ribosomal RNA". It matches the Rfam family "Bacterial small subunit ribosomal RNA", at positions 29 to 523 of the family's 1533-position model. The record is from RNAcentral.
AACGAACGCUGGCGGCAUGCCUAACACAUGCAAGUCGAACGAGAUCUUCGGGUCUAGUGGCGCACGGGUGCGUAACGCGUGGGAAUCUGCCCUUUGGUUCGGAAUAACAGUUGGAAACGACUGCUAAUACCGGAUGAUGACGAAAGUCCAAAGAUUUAUCGCCAGAGGAUGAGCCCGCGUAGGAUCAGCUAGUUGGUGUGGUAAAGGCGCACCAAGGCGACGAUCCUUAGCUGGUCUGAGAGGAUGAUCAGCCACACUGGGACUGGGACACGGCCCAGACUCCUACGGGAGGCAGCAGUGGGGAAUAUUGCGCAAUGGGCGAAAGCCUGACGCAGCCAUGCCGCGUGAAUGAUGAAGGUCUUAGGAUUGUAAAGUUCUUUAGCCUGUGACGAUGAUGACGGUAACAGGAGAAUAAGCCCCGGCUAACUUCGUGCCAGCCGCCGCAGUAA